Molecule: long non-coding RNA, 1894 nt
Organism: Herpailurus yagouaroundi (jaguarundi)
Lineage: Eukaryota; Metazoa; Chordata; Mammalia; Carnivora; Felidae
Exons: 3
Source: RefSeq, a predicted model, not a curated record
CACGUGAGGCUGGGAUCCUUACACGGCCUACUAAAAUUUUCUUUAUAGUUUUACCUUAAAAGCAUAUGUCUACCCAAGGAUGGCUUUGGACUGGAAAGAGGAUUUAAGUCCUUCUUCAUGUAAAAGGCAAGCACUCACGGCCAAUCUGAUGGUGAUCAUUCACUUUGCUCUGACAAAAAUUACCAUGGCCUGGGGGUUUAUGCUGGGCCACCGCUCUGCUAGAGGUGACAUCUGGUUUUUCUGAUUCUGAGCAGCUGUCUCUUCCACGCCCGUUUUCGAGAUGAGCUCACUGAGGUUUGGGGAGGUUACCCACACGCAAACCUUUCUCAAUUAGUAGGUGUUGCAGCCGGGUUCAGACCGGGGCGGGCCGGCUCCGCCGUCCACCCACAUUCACUCCUCCGCUUGGCCCUUCUAUGCAAAGUCUUCCAUCAUUUCAUUUGCUGAUCGAAAGGAUAAGGCAGCUGUUUUCCUGUGGCUUUAUGGGAUCACCGUGCCUCGGUGGUAAUGAACUGAGAACCGUAGGGUAAGCAUUAGAUUCCAGCCACUGAAAGAGUUGCAACAUCGAUAUAGACGUCUCCACUUUGGCGUUAUCCAAUAUUCAUUAAUAUUAAUUGCGGGGAUGGUUCUUGGCUUACUAAAUUCUGUGUCAGCCUCUGCUCAUAAACACCUUUGCUCCAAGUUAAAUCCAAACACGCAAAGACGUCUGUGCCCCAACUUGUUAAUGCCUGAUUCAACUACAGUGAGGGUCAAACACAGAAACGCUCAACACUUUGAUUUUGCUGUAAAGGGGCAGUUCGGUACACGAGUGGUUACAACACUCCUCGUGAAGAGUGUGCCUGGACCCUGCACUUAGGCAGUGAAGGAACUCCAGCAGCGAAAAAUCAAGAGGACAGCGGCAUGAAGCCUGGAGAAGCCUUACUUAUAAUUGUGCAAAUACGAGUGCAUCCUUUAGGGAGAAUUCUAAGAGGAAUCACCCAGAGCAAACCAAGCCGCGAAGCCUGUUCACGCCUCCAAGCGGUGGCCGCUGGGGUUUUGAGGGUGAAGAAAAGGCGGUCACAGUCACAGCAAAAGAAAAUAUCUGAGACUCUCAGGAAAUCUAAGCAAACAAAUACAGGCGUGUGUGCUGUAAAAUCCUGUAUAACGAUUCGAGGUAUGUCUGAAUCACUUUUGUAUCUGCGCGUGUUGUGUAAUCAGUGGCUUAUGCAAUUCAGUGGCACCUCUGGUUGGCUGCUUCACCACACGAGUUAAUUCGAAUACCUGUGCUGUUUUCUCCCAGCCUGUAAACAGGACUGCUCUGUGACCCCUGCCUGGUGCUGUUGUUACAGGUACGGGAGAAAUGAAUCACCCUGGGAUCUGACUCAAAGAUAAAGCCUUGGCCUUUCCACUGGGAUACGAUUGUUAAACACAAGCAUGCAACGUGGACACAAUUGAGAUCCAAAGGCUUCUUGUGGCUGAGACCAUCCACCACCUGAUUCCCGGCUCGUCCUGGACCUCAUUUCCAACUACGCCCUUGCCACUUAAGCCUGGGGCCCCUCCGCUAACACAUCCCCCUGUCCGGAGAGAGCAUGGACGGAGCUCUGUGUGUAGCUUAGGCUCUGCUCAAAUCUGCCCUGAGCAGACAGGCUUUCUGGACCACCUUCUAGAAGAUAGCACCUCUCUCCGCCUCAGGGACAUUGGCUCACAUUCCAGUCCUACCCUGAUGUUCCGAGCCCUCCAGCCAGCCCCGAUCUCCAUCACAUAGACUUGAGCAUGACUAGAGGUUUACUGAUCCACAUGCCUGUCAUUCCGGACAGGAGAGCUCUCUACUUUCGGACAUUAAUUUCAACCGUGUGACUGCGGCAGGUGAGAGAGAACCAGUAAAAUCAGCAAGAGUUAAAAAAAAAAAAAUCGCAGU